RNAcentral lists this ribosomal RNA (300 nucleotides) under Triticum aestivum (bread wheat). RNAcentral describes it as "partial small subunit ribosomal RNA". The record is from RNAcentral. Lineage: Eukaryota; Viridiplantae; Streptophyta; Magnoliopsida; Poales; Poaceae.
AUGCCUCCGAGACGUGACCCCGGAUUUGUCUUCCCACUGUACCUCACCCAGUUGAUCCAACAACAGAAUGCCUUGAUGCAGCUACUAGUCCAGACCCGAGGUAACAACAACAACAACAACAACAACCCACCGCCACCACCUCCAGUUGACAAUUUAGCCCGUUUUCUAAGGUUGCAGCCGCCGGUGUUUUCCAGUAGCACCGAGCCAAUAGCUGCUGAUGACUGUCUACGCAAGAUUGGAAGGGGGUUGACCACCGCAGGUUGCACAGAUGCUGAGAAGGUGCGUUUUGCCGCACAUUAA